This is a small nuclear RNA of Mus pahari (shrew mouse), 162 nucleotides long. RefSeq annotates it as U1 spliceosomal RNA. The transcript has a single exon. Lineage: Eukaryota; Metazoa; Chordata; Mammalia; Rodentia; Muridae. The record is from RefSeq and is a predicted model, not a curated record.
AAACAUACCAUGCAGGGGAGAUACUAUGUUCCCAAAGGUGGUUUUCUUAGAGCAAGACUUAUCCAUUGAACUCUGUAUAUGCUGACCCCUGUGAGUCCAAAAUGCUGAAAAUUCAACUAUAUAAUUUGUGUUAGUUGUGCACUAUAUUCAUGUACUUCACCA